CAUGUUGCUUUGAGUAGAUCUGACUUUACAGAGAGAAAUCACCAUCCCAAUAUCAACAUAAAGCCACCAUCAAACAGAAACAGCCACGAUACAUAAGUUGCAGAUUUCUCCGGCGGCUGCGAGCGGCUGCUUGUGGAACGCUCCCAUCUAGUGGACGUCGUCUGACAUCGCAGGCUGCUUCAGGUGAAAGUGCACAAGGCUCCUGAAGAACUGAAGGGAGAGCUCAUAGCUCAGGAACAUGGUGGCGCUCAUCGGGAAGCCUCGGAUGGCGUUGACUGACGUUCCGCGGAAGAAAACCUGCACACGAGAACGUACAACUCUUAGUGAAACACAAACUUAAUCCCAAAGAACACAGUGUUCAGAUCGUGUCCUGUAAGAACUCGUUGAUCUGUGACCGUUAGUCCGUUUUGUUGCAACACUAAUGACGCUCGGUUUUUGAUCACGUGAUGAAGCUUUUUUUUUUUUUUCCAUGUUAGAAGUCUGGAUAGUUUGUCGACAUUUUGUAACCUCGGAUUGUCAUGAACAUUCGAGCUCCUGGACGCAUCAUUUGGCAGCACGUGUUGUUGGUUUUAGUCCAAUAGGACGGCCAUGUUGCAACCAUUCACCUGACGUGAACCCGCUGAAGACUUGAAGGGCAACAGAUCUACUGUCGACUCCGAACAGCUGCAUCUAAUAAAACCAUGUCAUCAUUUUGGAUGAA
Long non-coding RNA from Larimichthys crocea (large yellow croaker), 700 nucleotides. RefSeq lists it as uncharacterized. Lineage: Eukaryota; Metazoa; Chordata; Actinopteri; Sciaenidae. The transcript is spliced from 3 exons. The record is from RefSeq and is a predicted model, not a curated record.